RNAcentral lists this ribosomal RNA (253 nucleotides) under uncultured bacterium. Its description in RNAcentral is "partial 16S ribosomal RNA". It matches the Rfam family "Bacterial small subunit ribosomal RNA", at positions 524 to 776 of the family's 1533-position model. The record is from RNAcentral.
GACGUAGGAGGCGAGCGUUGUCCGGAUUUACUGGGCGUAAAGCGCGCGCAGGCGGUCGCGCAGGUCCUCUGUGAAAGCCCCCGGCUCAACCGGGCGGAUGCGGGUGAAACCGCGCGACUGGAGGGUGGGAGAGGUCGGCGGAAUUCCCGGUGUAGUGGUGAAAUGCGUAGAUAUCGGGAGGAACACCCGUAGCGAAGGCGGCCGACUGGACCACACCUGACGCUGAGGCGCGAAAGCGUGGGGAGCAAACAGG